This 441-nucleotide ribosomal RNA is filed under the name uncultured bacterium. RNAcentral's name for it is "bacterial SSU rRNA". It matches the Rfam family "Bacterial small subunit ribosomal RNA", at positions 338 to 795 of the family's 1533-position model. The record is from RNAcentral.
CCUACGGGAGGCAGCAGUCGGGAAUAUUGCGCAAUGGAGGAAACUCUGACGCAGUGACGCCGCGUAUAGGAAGAAGGUUUUCGGAUUGUAAACUAUUGUCGUUAGGGAAGAUACAAGACAGUACCUAAGGAGGAAGCUCCGGCUAACUAUGUGCCAGCAGCCGCGGUAAUACAUAGGGAGCAAGCGUUAUCCGGAUUUAUUGGGUGUAAAGGGUGCGUAGACGGGAGAGCAAGUUAGUUGUGAAAUCCCUCGGCUUAACUGAGGAACUGCAACUAAAACUGUUUUUCUUGAGUAUCGGAGAGGAAAGUGGAAUUCCUAGUGUAGCGGUGAAAUGCGUAGAUAUUAGGAGGAACACCAGUGGCGAAGGCGACUUUCUGGACGAUAACUGACGUUGAGGCACGAAAGUGUGGGGAGCAAACAGGAUUAGAUACCCUUGUAGUC